Molecule: ribosomal RNA, 120 nt
Filed under: uncultured bacterium
Lineage: Bacteria
Description: partial 16S ribosomal RNA
Rfam family: Bacterial small subunit ribosomal RNA
Source: RNAcentral
CACGCCGUAAACGGUGGGCACUAGGUGUGGGAAACUAUCUACGUUUUCCGCGCCGCAGCUAACGCAUUAAGUGCCCCGCCUGGGGAGUACGGCCGCAAGGCUAAAACUCAAAGGAAUUGA